ACGUACUUCCGGUGCGCUGGCGUUGGUGAGGCAAGCUGGGAGGCCGAUUUUGACAGCCCGGCAGUGGUCUCCGCUCACCGGUCCGUAGCUCCUGCCGACACACGAAGUUUCAGGCCACCCCGGCCCCGCGGCUGGGCAGGAUGCGGCUGGGCUCCGGGGCCUUCGCUGCCAGCUGCGUAGCAAUUGAGGUUAUCGGGUUCGCGAUAUUUAUUCGGGGAUUCUUCCCGGCCCCUGUUCGUUCUUCUGCUAGACCAGAGCACGGUGUAGAAACCCCGGCUCCCGAACCAGUGGCAGGAGCCAGUUCGAACUGGACCAAGCUGCCAUCACCUCUCUUCAGUAAAGUUGUUAUUAUGCUGAUAGAUGCUUUAAGAGAUGAUUUUGUGUUUGGGUCAGAAGGUGUGAAGUAUAUGCCUUACACAACUUACCUGGUAGAAAAAGGAGCAUCUCAUAGUUUUGUGGCUGAGGCAAAGCCACCCACAGUUACUAUGCCUCGAAUCAAGGCGUUGAUGACAGGGAGUCUCCCUGGCUUUGUUGAUGUCAUAAGGAACCUCAAUUCUCCUGUGCUUCUAGAAGACAAUGUGAUAAGACAGGCAAAAGCUGCUGGGAAAAGAAUGAUCUUUUAUGGAGAUGAAACAUGGCUUAAAUUAUUCCCAAAGCACUUUGUGGAAUAUGAUGGGACAACAUCAUUCUUUGUGUCAGAUUAUAUAGAGGUGGACAAUAAUGUCACAAGACAUUUGGAUAAAGUAUUAAAAAGAGGAGACUGGGAUGUGCUAAUACUUCACUAUCUAGGGCUGGAUCACAUUGGCCACAUUUCUGGGCCCAACAGCCCCCUGAUUGGUCACAAGCUCAAUGAAAUGGACAGUAUCCUGAUGAAGAUUCACACAUCACUGUUGUCAAAGGAAAGAGAGACUCUCUCACCCAGUUUGCUGGUUCUCUGUGGUGACCAUGGGAUGUCUGAGUCAGGGAGCCAUGGGGCCUCUUCCACAGAGGAAGUAAGCACACCUCUGAUCUUAAUCAGCUCUGCAUUUGAAAGGAAACCUGGGGCUAUUCGACACCCAAAGCAUGUCCAGCAGACUGACUUGGCUGCAACACUAGCAAUAGGACUUGGUUUGCCGAUUCCUAAAGACAGUGUAGGGAGCCUCUUAUUUCCAGUUAUAGAAGGAAAACCAAUGAGAGAACAACUGAGAUUUUUACACUUAAACACAUUGCAGCUUAGCAAACUAUUGCAAGAAAACGUUCCAUCGUAUGAAAAAGAUCCUGGAUUUGAGCAGUUUAAAAUGGCAGAAAGGUUGCACGGGAACUGGGUCAGACUGCACUUGGAAGAAAACCAUUCAGACGUUCUGCUUGGCCUGGGGACCAAAGUGCUCAGGCAGUACCUGGGUGCCCUGAAGACCCUGAGUCUGGCUCUGAGCACACAAGUGGCUCACUAUGACAUCUACUCCAUGGCAGUAGGGACUGUCAUGGUUUUGGAGGUUCUUACCCUGUUCCUCCUUAGCACUCCACAUGUGCUGUGCAGAAAGGCUGAGCUGGAUGUUCCUCUGUUGUCUCCUGUGUUUUCUCUGCUCUUUUAUUUGAUAUUUCUGGUUCUUUCGGCCAUUCAUGUCCUGGUAUGCACCUCAUCCGAAAGCUCAUGCUACCUCUGCAGCCUCCCGUGGCUGGCAGUCGGGGGUGUGAUGGUACUUGUUUCUGCGCUGCUCUGUGUAAUUGUGUCUGCCCUUAUCAGGAUGGUCAUCGAUGGCACCCUGCUGAAGAAGAGUGCAGCUUAUCCCAGCUCAGGGUGGUCAGAGGUGGAUGUCCUCCUUCUUCUGGGCACAGUGGGCCAUGUUCUGAGCCUGGGAGCCAGCAGCUUUGUGGAAGAAGAGCAUCAGACCUGGUACUUCCUUGUUAACACUCUGUGCCUGGCUCUGAGCCAGGAAACCUGUAGGAGUUGCUUUGUGGGAGAUGACUGUGAACCUCAGCGUCGCUUCCAUGUGGAACAAGGAUGUGUAGACAUACUUGCCUGCACCCUGAAGGACAGUACAAGCUACAGUACCCCUAAGCCUGACAGAACAAGGAAAGGGGUCUCCCUUUCUGAAGCACAAGGAAGCUGCAAAUGGUGGACAGUGCUGGCGAGUCCGUGGCUGGUGCUGAUCUGCUGUCGGCUACUGAGGUCCUUGAACCAGACAGGGGUGCAGGGAGCCCAUCGGCCUGAUCUCAGCCACUGGCUUACCAGCUCUGACCACAAAGUACAACUCUCAGGCCUGGCUGCCCUUUCUCUGGCUGUGAUCUUCAUGUUGGUUCAAAAGGGGUGCUCCCUUGUAUCCAAGGCAGCCUUAGCACUGGGGCUGCUGGGCGUCUUCUGCUACAGGGCAGCCACUGGAAUUGUGCUGUUCCCAUGGCAACCAGACAACAAAGGCAUUUCAAAGGGUAUUAUUGAAGCUCGUUUUGUUUAUGUAUUUGUCCUUGGCAUUCUGUUCACGGGUACCAAAGAUUUACUUAAAGCACAAGUCAUUGCAACAGACUUCAAAACCAAGACUAUAGGUUUGUGGGAGAUACAUAGUGGAUUAGUUCUUCUGGCAGCAUUGCUCUUGAGACCACAUAAUCUUCCAGUGUUAGCAUUUAGUCUAUUGAUUCAGACUAUAAUGACUAAGUUCAUCUGGAAGCCCCUGAGACACGAUGCAGCUGAGAUCACUGUAAUGCAUUAUUGGUUUGGUCAAGCAUUCUUCUAUUUUCAGGGUAACUCAAACAACAUUGCCACCAUUGACAUUUCAGCAGGCUUUGUGGGCUUAGAUACCUACAUGGAAGUUCCAGCUGCAUUCCUCACAGUGUUUGGAACAUACGUGGGUCCUGUGCUCUGGGCCAGCCACCUCGUGCACUUCCUGAGCUCAGAGGAAAGCAAAUAUAUGAGCACACAUGGCCUACUGUGUGCUUGGCCUUAUUGCCCAAGGCUGGGACAUUUUCCUUCUUCUCUGUACCUGACUGAGAUCUCAGAAGCUGGCUGGUUCUACUACUGGAGGGGAAGAAUGUUUUCCAUGGAGGCACUUGGCCCAGAGCCACAGAGAUGAAAGCAAACAUCUGUUUCCUUUGCUGACUUUGGUCAUCUUUACACUCCCAUGCCAACACUGAAUCUGCACACACAGGCGGAGCAGAAUUUGAAACAGCAUCCUACCGGUCCUGCGCCUAGUGAAUGAUGACUCGCCAGAAAGCAAAGACGCAACCCUGCCUCCGUGUGAGCUUGGCGUGUGGCCCAGGAGGCUCCGUGAGCCUGCGUGCGUAAGGAUCGUGACGCCCACGCUUGAGAGCAGAGCUCAGUGCAAACUUCCAAUGGUUCUUCCAGUUUCCAGGGAAACGAGAUUUGGAGCUGCUGCAUGUUGCAGAGCUACCCCUCUCCUCCCCAGAGGGAGCCCUGCGAAUGGCUGGGUUUUGGGAGGAAGGGAUUGAGGACACCUACUCCAUGAAGGGUAGGGAGUCUGAAUCAGAAGAGUCAAGCCAAGAAACAUCAAUCAUCCUGAAGGAGUCUUCAGAGGUUGAAGUCUCGGUGAAGCUGGCCAUGCCCAGGUAAAAAUAAAUUAUAUAAAACCACAAUUAAAUAAAUUAUAUUAAAAUAUGGGUAACAAAUACUUAAAGCAAACACUUUCUAUUUUACUACACUUUUCUGUUCAGUUUUUUAAUUACUUAUUUAUGUAUUU
RNA transcript from Peromyscus leucopus (white-footed mouse), 3668 nucleotides. It is a transcript of the gene named phosphatidylinositol glycan anchor biosynthesis class G, with no coding region annotated. The record is from RefSeq and is a predicted model, not a curated record. Lineage: Eukaryota; Metazoa; Chordata; Mammalia; Rodentia; Cricetidae. The transcript is spliced from 15 exons.